UUCGUGUGCGGCGUUUCACUGCUACUUGUCGUCGUAUAGAAUACAGCUCCGUGGUAAUAAUUCUUUACAAAAAAAAAAGGAAGAAAAAAAAAAAAAACAAGAGAAGGCAUGAAAAAUACAUGUUUUUUAUUAAACAUUUUGUGUGUAUGUUAAUUUUUUUUUAUAUUUUUGGUUCAUUCAUUUGGUGAAAAGUGAAGCAAGCUAAAGAAAAUAGAAAUACAAAAGGAAAAGCAAAGUGAAGAAGAAGUAUAACUCACACAUACAUGCCUGCAUAUAUAUACAAACACACAUUAAAAUGAAAUAGUGCUUGUUAGUGUGCGGUAAUGUUAAGAGUGUCAGUGAGUGAGUGAGUUAGUGUCUUCUGAAACGGUGUUUCAAAUCUUUGUGUGUAUGAAAGUUGGAGAUAAUGAUGAUAGGUUUGUGUAAGUGUGUGUGUGUGAUGGCAUUUGAACUGGAAAACUAGAGGCAAGAAAAGUUGGAUGAAGAAAAAAAAUCAAGUAUUAGGAAAAUGUUAAAACCAACACACGAAUAAGAUAAUAAUGACUAUGAAUAUGACGAUGUUGGUAGUGAUGAUAAUGAUGAAUAAUCUAAUAAUGAUGAUGUGCUGCAUACAUUAAAUUAAAAUUUCACCAUAAAAACGGAAGUUCUAAAACCAUAAUUCAUGUCAUAACACAAAUGUAUAAAACGAAUAAUUAGUAAAAAGUCAUGGCUUAAGAAAAGUUAUGUUUAUGCUAAUCUAAAAGAAGAAUAAUUCCAACAAAAUACAUCUAAAUAAUUUAAAUUACAAGCCAGUAGAAAAAAGUUUUAAUAAUAAAGUUUAUGUUGCAAUAAAAUAACCAAAAUGUUUCAGAAAACUCAAAGAGUUCGCAUAAAAUAUAAAAGCAAGUUUAUUGAAACUUUAAGGCAUCAUCAACAUCACUGUCAGCAGCACCAGCAUAGAGAUAAUGUUAAUAGCAGCAAGUGUAUGAAUUGCUAAAAUAGUGCAACAAAAAUAAUGAAUUUUUUGGAGCAUGAACAAUUGUUGGAAUUGAAUGAACUAUAUGUGCAAAUUCAACAGAAGUCAUAAAGAAUAAAAAACUUUAAUAAAAAAAGGGGAAUUGCUAGUAAAAAAGGUUUAAAAAAAGACUAAAACUUAAACCUACAAAAAGAAAAUUCAUAAAAAUAUUCAAUAUUUCAAAAGGAUU
Lucilia sericata (common green bottle fly) is the source of this 1184-nucleotide long non-coding RNA. RefSeq lists it as uncharacterized. The transcript has 3 exons. NCBI's taxonomy places the organism in Eukaryota, Metazoa, Arthropoda, Insecta, Diptera, Calliphoridae. The record is from RefSeq and is a predicted model, not a curated record.